UUUUCGUUUUUUCGUGUUCAAUGUUUAACCAUUCGUCUUAUUCGUAAAAUUUAUAAAAAACUUAAAAAAACUAGUUACAUAUAAAGUAAUAUUUAUAUUUUAUCAUCUAGUAACAAUAAAAAUAUUAAUUGCAAAAAAAAUUCAAUAAGACGAAUAGUCAAACGUUGGACACGGAAAAAAAUG
Non-coding RNA from Oryza brachyantha (malo sina), 183 nucleotides. The record is from Rfam. Lineage: Eukaryota; Viridiplantae; Streptophyta; Magnoliopsida; Poales; Poaceae.